UAAACAAUUAAUUUUUCAGGUGCCCGCAAGGGGUAAAAGGGAACCGGGUGAGAAUCCCGGGCGGUCCCGCCACUGUAACCGGUAGUCCACCUCGUAACCACCGUUUGUCGUCCUUUUGGGGCAAGGCAGGCGGGAAGGGAGGCGCGGACGCUAUCCCGGAAGUCAGGAAACCUGCCUGGAAAUGCCCACCACA
This 193-nucleotide non-coding RNA is filed under the name Peptococcaceae bacterium. The record is from RNAcentral. Lineage: Bacteria; Bacillati; Bacillota; Clostridia; Eubacteriales; Peptococcaceae.